This 1014-nucleotide long non-coding RNA is filed under the name Sinocyclocheilus grahami. RNAcentral's name for it is "lncRNA (ENSSGRG00000047722.1)". The record is from RNAcentral. Lineage: Eukaryota; Metazoa; Chordata; Actinopteri; Cypriniformes; Cyprinidae.
AUGUCACGACACCAUCACCGCUUUGAGAGAGACUAUCGAGGCCCCUGGGACCGUCGCGAGCGAGCCGGAGGCCUUCACAAUGGCGUUGGCAACAGCACCUGCUCCUCAGCACCGCCCGUGGCCAACGGCAACAACCGUCCGGGACUCCUCCCGCUCCCGGUCAUCCCGUCCCUCCUUCCCACCCCUGUGACCAUCGCCGUGACCUGUUUUGUGUCAUAUAGUCUGAUCUCAAUCGUAUGUAUUGUCUCUUUGCAGGCGGCGGGUCUUUCUCCUGGUGAGACACAGCCUCCGAGUCUCCUGUUGGCUCCUGGAGUGAGAUGGGGCCAGACCCCCAUCAACCAGUCCACUCCGUGGGAGACCGACGAGCCUCCCACCAAGCAGCACAGAGAGAGCGACACCACAGGGCCCCCAUGGGUGCCUCCAGGGGUAGCGGCCAGUCAGCCCAGCUUACUGGCCCAUUCGUAUGGGAUGCCUCAGCCACCCGCCUAUAGCCAAGGAGUGUCCGUCCAGUCUCCCAUCAUCGGCGUGACCCCAGCCAUCCAGACGCCCAUCCCACCGCACCAUCCACUCAUGACCGCCCACUUCCAGCUUCCUCCCCUCUCCUCCCAAGUGCCAGGUAGCCUGGUCCUAAACCUACAGAACCAGUCACCCUACGCCACCAGCCAGCUGCCAAUCACCCCAUCGCCCCUCACGACGGCCGGCCGGGUAGUUCACCCCGCCCCUCAGAGCGUGGUGGGAAACGGUCACAUGACACACCCGCUCAUACAGCCACCUGCUUUGCCUUCCGCCGCGCUGCCACUAACGAACGGACAGGCGACGACUCAGCCGGCAUCAGCCAAUCAGGAAAGUCCGAUCAGGCUUCAGAUGCUCCGUACGGUCGGAAUGGGGAAGUACGAGUUCACAGACCCGAGUCAUCCGAAAGGUAAGCGGUUCUCUUGGCUUGUUGCAAUUUACUUUCCACAUCGAUGCAACUUGCAAUUGUCUCUUAAGAUGCAAAAGAGCCAAUUACAUUAG